Chenopodium quinoa (quinoa) is the source of this 1999-nucleotide long non-coding RNA. RefSeq lists it as uncharacterized. Lineage: Eukaryota; Viridiplantae; Streptophyta; Magnoliopsida; Caryophyllales; Amaranthaceae. The transcript has 2 exons. The record is from RefSeq and is a predicted model, not a curated record.
UCAGAGUUAUUUCCAAUUUAGCUGCAAAAGCCUUGGAAUCCUUGGCUAAAUCUGCGUUUAAAGAGGCUGUUUCCUGGUGGGGUGCUCGAGAUGAACUGAAGAAGCUUGAGAAUACCAUGACCUUUAUCCAGGCUCGAGUUCGUGAUGCUGAGAGGCGCCAAGAAGGAGACAAUAGUGAGCUGAUCAGGCUCUGGCUUCGGAAGCUGAAGCAAGUGCUGUACCGAGCUGAUGACUUGUUUGAUUAUGUCCUCACUCUGGAUCGCCAGAAUCCGCGGGUUGAGAGGAGCACGCUGGAAAAGGUAGGCGUCUUAUUCUCAAAGUCUAGUCCCUUUUAGAACAAUAGAAGAUUGGCUCAUGAGAUCAAGUCUAUUAGGAAAGAUCUGGAUGAAAUCAAGGCCAAUAUGGAUGGCUUGAACUUGUUGUUGGGCUGCCAUUGCCAAUGGAGCGUUUGAUAAGCAAUAGGCAGAAAGGAUCUUUUGUGAAAGUAGAAGAUGUCAUUGGUAGGGAACAUGAUAAAAACAAUAUUAUUGAGAUGAUUUUUGAUCCCAAAUUUGAUGAUGGGAAAAGGAUUACUGUGAUUCCAAUUGUCGGGUUUGGGGGACUCGGAAAAACCACUCUUGCUCAGCUGAUUUAUAAUGAUGAGAUUGUUAUGAAACAUUUUGAUCUUACUAAUUGGGUCUGUGUACCUGAGGUAGGUGAUCAAAGUACUGUAAUGAAGCGAGUUUAUCAAUCCAUCACCGGUGAUAAGGAUUCUGAUAGACUCCUGGUUGGUCAGAUUAAAUCAGGCAUCCAAGGAUCUUCUUGUCUUAGAUGACAUAUGGGAUGAAAAUCGGAAUAGUUGGUUGGAUCUCCUUAUGUUACUAGAAUGCGGUGCAAGUGGGAGUAGAGUUAUUGUAACAACACGCUCUGCCAAAUGUCGCAAAAGCUGUUGGUGCGAGAGGUUGAAAAACAUAUCAGCGGAAACUCUCUCUGUCCUUGAAACACUGGUAAUCGACAGUGAUGGUUUUGAAGAAGGGCUCUGUCAAAGUAUUGCUUGCCCUAACAACGCUUUAGAGUCUAACCAUUCGUCCCCCAGACUUACAGAAACUCCCAGAAGAAAUGGGCAACCUCUCCUUCCUUCGUGAGCUGAAACUCUUUACAGAAUCAGUACUAAGCCUUACCUCUUUACAGAAACUUUGUAUCUGGAAUUGUCCAGUUAUCCAAAAAAGAUAUGAGAUGCCGAAUGGCCAAGAUUGCCACCUUCUCCAACAUAUCCCCUGUGUUGAAAUUUGGAGUCCGAAGAAGCACCAAGCAUGAAAUUGCAAAACUUAUCAUAAUUGUGGGAAGAACGAUAGAGGGAGCUUUUCAACCUCAAUCCUGACCCCAAGUCACUACAAGAAACACAACCCGAAGUCACAGUUAUGCAGAGUUGUUGGACUCCAUGAAUUACCUGAGUUAUGUGCUGUGUUUUGUAUUAGCAUGCGUUGUAAUCAACCUCCUGUCCUCGACAGAAAGUAGAGGCAGUAAAACAAAAUCAAGUGCUGUUUCUCUCCCCAUAUUUGGAAACCUGUUCUGCCUUCCUAGCAUACUGCACUGCAUCUCAAUCUUCUCAGUCAAGUGCCAACAAUGGUAACUUGUUCAGUGGCCUAGGCAAGGAUCAUUUCUUGGCCAAGCGCUACUUAUAGGCGUUUUCUGUGCACUCGACCGUCAUUAGAAUUCAGUUGCUUGUUUGCCAGCUGCAUCAUCUGAAUGGAAGAUUUGCUACGAGCUCUGCAAUUCUCUAGUUUUCUACCAACAGACUCAACAAAAGUCGAAGCAUCCAAAGCAAUAAGAUUAAUGAUCUUCCCUAUGUUUAGAAGAGUGGCAGCAAAGGUGGUAAAACAGUGGAUAAGAGCUAAGCAGCAUUCACCACUUUCCUCAGUUUGUUAAUUGUUAUUGAUGCUUUUUAUAAAUAGAUCCAUAUAAUGUAUUAAUGUAUGCAGUUGAAGAGUCUACAGAGUUUGGAUAGCCAGCUUUUUCA